AGUGAACGCUGGCGGUAGGCCUAACACAUGCAAGUCGAACGGCAGCACAGUAAGAGCUUGCUCUUACGGGUGGCGAGUGGCGGACGAGUGAGGAAUACAUCGGCAUCUACUUUUUCGUGGGGGAUAACGUAGGGAAACUUACGCUAAUACCGCAUACGACCUACGGGUGAAAGCAGGGGAUCUUCGGACCUUGCGCGAUUGAAUGAGCCGAUGUCGGAUUAGCUAGUUGGCGGGGUAAAGGCCCACCAAGGCGACGAUCCUUAGCUGGUCUGAGAGGAUGAUCAGCCACACUGGAACGGAGACACGGUCCAGACUCCUACGGGAGGCAGCAGUGGGGAAUAUUGGACAAUGGGCGCAAGCCUGAUCCAGCCAUACCGCGUGGGUGAAGAAGGCCUUCGGGUUGUAAAGCCCUUUUGUCGGGAAAGAAAAGCAGCAGGUUAAUACCCCGCUGUUCUGACGGUACCCAAAGAAUAAGCACCGGCUAACUUCGUG
Molecule: ribosomal RNA, 492 nt
Filed under: uncultured bacterium
Lineage: Bacteria
Description: partial 16S ribosomal RNA
Rfam family: Bacterial small subunit ribosomal RNA
Source: RNAcentral